CGGAGGUAAGACGAGCCUUGGGGCCCUCUGACACCACCCAAACCCAUCACGCCCUGCGUGAGCAGCCGCCCUGCAGCUUGGAAGGGACGUUGGCACCGGAGCCGCCUGCUCUGCCCCGCAGGAGGGGGAGGUGGAAAGAAAGGUGUCCCUGGGGCGGCCUCACUGUUGGUAAAAA
This is a long non-coding RNA of Cygnus olor (mute swan), 175 nucleotides long. RefSeq lists it as uncharacterized. The transcript has 2 exons. Lineage: Eukaryota; Metazoa; Chordata; Aves; Anseriformes; Anatidae. The record is from RefSeq and is a predicted model, not a curated record.